AUUGAACGCUGGCGGCGUGCCUAAUACAUGCAAGUCGAGCGAAUGGAUUAAGAGCUCGCUCUUAUGAAGUUAGCGGCGGACGGGUGAGUAACACGUGGGUAACCUGCCCAUAAGACUGGGAUAACUCCGGGAAACCGGGGCUAAUACCGGAUAACAUUUUGAACCGCAUGGUUCGAAAUUGAAAGGCGGCUUCGGCUGUCACUUAUGGAUGGACCCGGGUCGCAUUAGCUAGUUGGUGAGGUAACGGCUCACCAAGGCAGCGAUGCGUAGCCGACCUGAGAGGGUGAGCGGCCACACUGGGACUGAGACACGGCCCAGACUCCUACGGGAGGCAGCAGUAGGGAAUCUUCCGCAAUGGACGAAAGUCUGACGGAGCAACGCCGCGUGAGUGAUGAAGGCUUUCGGGUCGUAAAACUCUGUUGUUAGGGAAGAACAAGUGCUAGUUGAAUAAGCUGGCACCUUGACGGUACCUAACCAGAAAGCCACGGCUAACUACGUGCCAGCCGCCGCUGUAA
This 515-nucleotide ribosomal RNA is filed under the name uncultured bacterium. RNAcentral's name for it is "partial 16S ribosomal RNA". It matches the Rfam family "Bacterial small subunit ribosomal RNA", at positions 30 to 523 of the family's 1533-position model. The record is from RNAcentral.